CCAAUAGCGUAUAUUAAAGUUGUUGCAGUUAAAAAGCUCGUAGUUGAAUUUCGGGAUCAAGGAAUCGGUCAUGCCUCGGUAUGUACUGGUUUUAUUGGUUCUCACCUUCUAAAGAACCAUGAGGUCAUUCAUUUGAUGUUAUGGGGAAUUAGGACUGUUACCUUGAAAAAAUUAGAGUGUUUAAAGCAAGCUUACGCUUGAAUACAUUAGCAUGGAAUAAUGAAAUAGGACAUCCGAUUCUAUUUUGUUGGUUUCUAGGAUCGAUGUAAUGAUUAAUAGGGAUAGUUGGGGGCAUUAGUAUUCAAUUGUCAGAGGUGAAAUUCUUGGAUUUAUUGAAGACUAACUACUGCGAAAGCAUUUGCCAAGGAUGUUUUCAUUAAUCAAGAACGAAAGUUAGGGGAUCGAAGACGAUCAGAUACCGUCGUAGUCUUAACCAUAAACUAUGCCGACUAGGGAUCGGAUGAUGUUUAUUUUUUAGUGACUCAUUCGGCACCUUACG
This 499-nucleotide ribosomal RNA is filed under the name uncultured Glomeromycotina. Its description in RNAcentral is "partial small subunit ribosomal RNA". It matches the Rfam family "Eukaryotic small subunit ribosomal RNA", at positions 591 to 1092 of the family's 1831-position model. The record is from RNAcentral. Lineage: Eukaryota; Fungi; Glomeromycota.